GACGAACGCUGGCGGCGUGCCUAAUACAUGCAAGUGGAACGCUGAAGGAGGAGCUUGCUCUUCUGGAUGAGUUGCGAACGGGUGAGUAACGCGUAGGUAACCUGCCUGGUAGCGGGGGAUAACUAUUGGAAACGAUAGCUAAUACCGCAUAAGAGUAGAUGUUGCAUGACAUUUACUUAAAAGGUGCAAUUGCAUCACUACCAGAUGGACCUGCGUUGUAUUAGCUAGUUGGUGGGGUAACGGCUUACCAAGGCGACGAUACAUAGCCGACCUGAGAGGGUGAUCGGCCACACUGGGACUGAGACACGGCCCAGACUCCUACGGGAGGCAGCAGUAGGGAAUCUUCGGCAAUGGACGGAAGUCUGACCGAGCAACGCCGCGGGAGUGAAGAAGGUUUUCGGAUCGUAAAGCUCUGUUGUAAGAGAAGAACGAGUGUGAGAGUGGAAAGUUCACACUGUGACGGUAUCUUACCAGAAAGAGACGGCUAACUACGUG
Molecule: ribosomal RNA, 495 nt
Filed under: uncultured bacterium
Lineage: Bacteria
Description: partial 16S ribosomal RNA
Rfam family: Bacterial small subunit ribosomal RNA
Source: RNAcentral